RNAcentral lists this long non-coding RNA (431 nucleotides) under Brassica napus (rape). RNAcentral describes it as "long non-coding RNA (BNAP_LNC022916)". Lineage: Eukaryota; Viridiplantae; Streptophyta; Magnoliopsida; Brassicales; Brassicaceae. The record is from RNAcentral.
GUGAAACCUAGAGAGCUUUGAUUGAAUUAUUGUUAAGCUUUGUUUGAUUGAUUGAAUAAGAGAAAGACUUCUUAUUAUUGUCUUGAGAUAGCUUUGUGAUUCUAUAGAAGUUACAUUUUAUUAAGAAAAGUUGUUAUUUCUUGGUUUAACACAUGAAUUACAUUUUAUUUAAAAAUUUUGAUUUGUGACAAAAUAGUAACUAAAAUAUAUCUACCAAAUGCAUAUCAGAGAAAUAAGUCUGACUAGUAGAAGAAGAUGUAUUUCAUUGAUAAUUAACAGAGAACUAAAAUUUAUCUUUCAAUGUUGUAAAUAUUCAAUUGUAAUAUAAACAUUUACCAUGAUACAUGAUUGUACAAUUUAAUUAGAGAAAGUAAAGUUGAAAAUUUUGUAUUUUUUAUUUAAUAUAGAACGUACUAUUCGACGAUCUAAUC